UGGGGGAUAUUGCACAAUGGGCGAAAGCCUGAUGCAGCGACGCCGCGUGGGGGAUGAAGGCCUUCGGGUUGUAAACUUCUUUUGCUCUGAACAAGGCGCACCAUGGGGUGUGUUGAGUGUAGGGGUUGAUUAGCGCCGGCUAACUACGUGCCAGCAGCCGCGGUAAUACGUAGGGCGCGAGCGUUGUCCGGAAUUAUUGGGCGUAAAGGGCUUGUAGGUGGCUGGUUGCGUCUGUCGUGAAAGCUCAUGGCUUAACUGUGGUUUGCGGUGGGUACGGGCUGGCUUGAGUGCAGUAGGGGAGGCUGGAAUUCCUGGUGUAGCGGUGGAAUGCGCAGAUAUCAGGAGGAAUACCGGUGGCGAAGGCGGGUCUCUGGGCUGUUACUGACACUGAGGAGCGAAAGCAUGGGGAGCGAACAGG
This 418-nucleotide ribosomal RNA is filed under the name bacterium. RNAcentral's name for it is "partial 16S ribosomal RNA". It matches the Rfam family "Bacterial small subunit ribosomal RNA", at positions 355 to 776 of the family's 1533-position model. The record is from RNAcentral.